UACGUAGGGGGCGAGCGUUGUCCGGAUUUAUUGGGCGUAAAGAGCGUGUAGGCGGUUCGGUAAGUCUGUCGUGAAAUCCUGAGGCUCAACCUCGGGCGUGCGAUGGAUACUGCCGGGCUAGAGGAUGGUAGAGGCGAGUGGAAUUCCCGGUGUAGCGGUGAAAUGCGCAGAUAUCGGGAGGAACACCAGUAGCGAAAGCGGCUUCCUGGUCCAGCACCGACGUUCAGGCACGAAAGCGUGGGGAGCAAACAGG
RNAcentral lists this ribosomal RNA (253 nucleotides) under uncultured bacterium. RNAcentral describes it as "partial 16S ribosomal RNA". It matches the Rfam family "Bacterial small subunit ribosomal RNA", at positions 524 to 776 of the family's 1533-position model. The record is from RNAcentral.